ACCCUCUCAGGGUUGCACCUGGGGACUUUCCAGUACUACACCAGUCUCAACUACCAGAGGGAGAGUCAAGCAGAGGCCUAUCCAUUCCAUUCCUAGCUUGGCCAGUGGCUAGUGAGUGGAAGGCAACUUGCUACAAGU
Non-coding RNA from Ornithorhynchus anatinus (platypus), 138 nucleotides. The record is from Rfam. NCBI's taxonomy places the organism in Eukaryota, Metazoa, Chordata, Mammalia, Monotremata, Ornithorhynchidae.